GGCAGGCCUAACACAUGCAAGUCGGACGAGAAGGUACCUUCGGGUACUGGAGAGUGGCGCACGGGUGAGUAACGCGUGGGGACCUACCUCUUAGUGGGGGAUAACGGUUGGAAACGACCGCUAAUACCGCAUACGCCCUUCGGGGGAAAGAUUUAUCGCUAAGAGAUGGACCCGCGUUGGAUUAGAUAGUUGGUGAGGUAACGGCUCACCAAGUCAGCGAUCCAUAGCUGGUUUGAGAGGAUGAUC
Molecule: ribosomal RNA, 246 nt
Filed under: Cafeteria roenbergensis
Lineage: Eukaryota; Bigyra; Bicosoecida; Cafeteriaceae
Description: partial Bacterial small subunit ribosomal RNA
Rfam family: Bacterial small subunit ribosomal RNA
Source: RNAcentral